RNAcentral lists this ribosomal RNA (466 nucleotides) under uncultured bacterium. RNAcentral describes it as "partial 16S ribosomal RNA". It matches the Rfam family "Bacterial small subunit ribosomal RNA", at positions 28 to 507 of the family's 1533-position model. The record is from RNAcentral.
GAUGAACGCUGGCGGCGUGCUUAACACAUGCAAGUCGAACGGAAAGGCCCAAGCUUGCUUGGGUACUCGAGUGGCGAACGGGUGAGUAACACGUGGGUGAUCUGCCCUGCACUUCGGGAUAAGCCUGGGAAACUGGGUCUAAUACCGGAUAGGACCACUUCUUGGAUGUUGUGGUGGAAAGUUUUUUCGGUGUGGGAUGAGCUCGCGGCCUAUCAGCUUGUUGGUGGGGUAAUGGCCUACAAGGCGUCGACGGGUAGCCGGCCUGAGAGGGUGUACGGCCACAUUGGGACUGAGAUACGGCCCAGACUCCUACGGGAGGCAGCAGUGGGGAAUAUUGCACAAUGGGCGCAAGCCUGAUGCAGCGACGCCGCGUGGGGGAUGACGGCCUUCGGGUUGUAAACUCCUUUCGCUAGGGACGAAGCGUUUUGUGACGGUACCUGGAGAAGAAGCACCGGCUAACUACGUG